AUACCCGCGCCACGAGUGGGAACCAUUAUUAUUGGGUCUAAAGCGUCCGUAGCCGGUUUGAUAAAUUUUCUGUGAAAUUGGUCAGCUUAACUGAUCAACGUGCAGGAAAAACUGUUAGACUUGGAACUAGGAGAGGUUAAGAGUAUUCUCAGGGGAGCGGUAAAAUGUUAUAAUCCUGAGGGGACUGCCGAUGGCGAAGGCACUUAACCAGAAUAGAUUCGACGGUGAGGGACGAAAGCCAGGGGAGCGAUCCGGAUUAGAUACCCGAGUAGUCC
Molecule: ribosomal RNA, 275 nt
Filed under: uncultured bacterium
Lineage: Bacteria
Description: partial 16S ribosomal RNA
Rfam family: Archaeal small subunit ribosomal RNA
Source: RNAcentral